GUGCUUGCUUCAGCAGCGCAUAUACUAAAAUUGGAAUGAUACAGAGAAGAUUAGCACUGCCCCUGUGUGAGGAUUGCAGGAAAUUCGUGAGGUGUUCCAUAUUUUU
This 106-nucleotide small nuclear RNA is filed under the name Ursus thibetanus thibetanus. Lineage: Eukaryota; Metazoa; Chordata; Mammalia; Carnivora; Ursidae. The record is from RNAcentral.